RNAcentral lists this long non-coding RNA (223 nucleotides) under Dasypus novemcinctus (nine-banded armadillo). RNAcentral's name for it is "lncRNA (ENSDNOG00000050763.1)". The record is from RNAcentral. Lineage: Eukaryota; Metazoa; Chordata; Mammalia; Cingulata; Dasypodidae.
CUCCAUGGACCCUCUCUAGGUCAACUCAAAGCAGCCACUCUGUUGAAGUGCUUUGCCUGUUGUUCCAGAUUAUUCAAGAAAGAAGAAUCCUAGAUUUAAAUCCUGAUUUGUCAGAAAAAUAUCUUCUUUCAAAAUAUAUUUAUUAUGCACUUGCUAUAUGCCAGGCAUUGUGCUGGAUGCUGGGAAUACAGCCAUGAAAAGAUGGUCUUGACCUCGUGGAGCU